Molecule: ribosomal RNA, 400 nt
Filed under: phytoplankton environmental sample
Lineage: Eukaryota
Description: partial small subunit ribosomal RNA
Rfam family: Eukaryotic small subunit ribosomal RNA
Source: RNAcentral
AGCUCUAAUAGCGUAUAUUAACGUUGUUGCAGUUAAAAAGCUCGUAGUUGGAUUUUGGGAUCGAAGCGCUGGCCGGCCGUAAGGUCAGAGUUGGUGGUUUGGUUCUUCCUUCCAGAAAUCCAGUGCUUCCGCUUAAUCGCGUGGUGCUGGGGUCUGGGACAUUUACUUUGAGCAAAAUAGAGUGUUUAAAGCAGGCUAACGCCUUGAAUACAUUAGCAUGGAAUAAUCUUAUAGGACUUUGGUUCUAUUUUGUUGGUUGAAGGACCGAAGUAAUGAUUAAUAGGGAUAGUUGGGGGCAUUCAUAUUCGAUUGUCAGAGGUGAAAUUCUAAGAUUUAUGGAAGAUGAACUUCUGCGAAAGCAUUUGUCAAGGAUGUUUUCAUUAAUCAAGAACGAAAGUAG